RNAcentral lists this ribosomal RNA (424 nucleotides) under Verrucomicrobiota bacterium. Its description in RNAcentral is "Verrucomicrobia bacterium partial 16S ribosomal RNA". It matches the Rfam family "Bacterial small subunit ribosomal RNA", at positions 355 to 776 of the family's 1533-position model. Lineage: Bacteria; Pseudomonadati; Verrucomicrobiota. The record is from RNAcentral.
UGAGGAAUAUUGGUCAAUGGGCGAGAGCCUGAACCAGCCAAGUAGCGUGCAGGAUGACGGCCCUAUGGGUUGUAAACUGCUUUUAUGUGGGGAUAAAGUGCGUGACGUGUCAUGCAUUGCAGGUACCACAUGAAUAAGGACCGGCUAAUUCCGUGCCAGCAGCCGCGGUAAUACGGAAGGUACGGGCGUUAUCCGGAUUUAUUGGGUUUAAAGGGAGCGUGGGCGGUCUAUUAAGCGUGUUGUGAAAUUUACCGGCUCAACCGGUGGCUUGCAGCGCGAACUGGUCGACUUGAGUAUGCAGGAAGUAGGCGGAAUUCAUGGUGUAGCGGUGAAAUGCUUAGAUAUCAUGACGAACUCCGAUUGCGCAGGCAGCUUACUGUAGCAUAACUGACGCUGAGACUCGAAAGUGCGGGUAUCAAACAGG